Long non-coding RNA from Lycium barbarum (goji berry), 2675 nucleotides. RefSeq lists it as uncharacterized. NCBI's taxonomy places the organism in Eukaryota, Viridiplantae, Streptophyta, Magnoliopsida, Solanales, Solanaceae. The record is from RefSeq and is a predicted model, not a curated record. The transcript is spliced from 4 exons.
ACUAAAUGAAAAGGUAAUGGAAACAUCUGUAAAUUGUAAUGUAACAAACGAAAUAAAGAAACCCUACAGCUACAGCCUGCAAUACAUUGUUUCUCAAAUCAAACCCUUCAAGCGUCCAACUCCCAAAAUUAGAAACGCUCUUCCCUUUCUCAUUUUUCAAUCAGAUUAAGCCGCUGUUCUUCCCCCUUCCCUUUCCUCUCAAAUCAGCAACCAUGCACGGCUCCAACUCUCAAAGAAACUCGCAUUUUACAUUAAUUCUCUUUCGGGAUGGAAGCUACAACUUCUGGAACGAAAUCGCUGGUGAUUGACAACAACCUUCCGAUUGUGCCAACAGUAACUCAACAACAACAAGGUAAAGACAUUCCUCAUGGACGCACUCCUCAUAAAAAACAAAGAAGAACAACUCCUAAAGAACCUUCUAAAUCUGGGAAUACUGGUAGAGAGACUUUUGAGAUUUGGUAUCACUUCUCCAAAUUUAAAGCUAAAGGAGGUAAAUGUAGGGCGAAAUGCAAUUACUAUCCUAAAAUAUUUGCUGCCAAAAGCAAGAAUGGAACUACUACAUUAUGGUUACAUCUAACUGAGAAAUGUAACAAAUCUCCCUUUAGAAUCAUUGAUAAGAGACAAACAACAUUAAAGCCAAUUAAAGAAGGGUGGACAGAAGGUGGUUCGGGUUCUAAUGAAAAGGUGGUGUAUAAUGUAGAUGAUAUUAGGUGGGACAUUGCUGAAUUUGUAAUUACUGACGAGCAGUAAUUAGAGUUGUAGAGGGAGAAGGAUUUAAGAAAUUGAUGGCUAAAGCCUUACCGAAUUUUGAAUUAUCUUCUCGUGUUACUGUUGCUAGGCAUUGCUUGAGGAUUUAUCAAGAAGAGAAAGAUAAGCUUAAAUAUCUUAUCAAGAACCAGCACAUUUUCCUUACUAGUGACACAUGGACAUCACUCCAAAAUUUGACUUAUGUGGUUGUCACUGCACAUUGGAUUGAUGACCAAUAGAAUUUACAAAAGAAAAUCCUGAACUUUUUUCAAACACCAGAUCACAAAGGAGAGACUAUUGCUAAGGGAAUUGAGGAAUGUUUAUUGGGUGGGACAUUGAGAACCUGUUUACAGUAACCUUAGAUAAUGCAACUGCCAAUGAUGCUGAAAUAAAGCAUUUGAAAGUGCUGAUGGAUGAUUGGGGCGGGGUAAUACUUGGGAAUGAAUUUUUACAUGUUAGGUGUAAUGCUCACAUAUUGAACUUGAUUGUAAAAGAAGGGUUGGAUGAACAAAUUGAGCCCAGUUCUCGUGUAAGGAAUGCGGUGAAAUAUGUUAGGUCUUCCCCUUCAAGGUUUGCUUCUUUUAAGUCAUUAAUUGAAAAAACUAAGAUAGACACUCAUGGUCUUGUGAGCCUUGAUGUUGAAACUAGAUGGAACUCGACAUAUACAAUGUUAGAUACGGCUAUAAAAUUUGAAAAAGCCUUUACAAGAAUGUAUCUAGAUGACCAUAAAUAUCAAAAGUAUUGUCAAGAAAUAAGUGCAUUAAAAGGAAAUCCAUCGGCAGAUGACUGAAAGAAUGUGAGAGCUUUUGUCAAGUUUCUUGAUCUUUUCUACCAGACCACUUUAAAAAAUUUCGGGACUUUGUAAGUUACUUCCAACUGUUUCUCUCGUGAAUUUUUUACUCUUUGAAGUUCUAUUAAUAAGUAUUCUACCAGUGAAGAUCUUAUUUUGGUUGAUAUGGCAGCACAGAUGAAAAGUAUAUUUGAGAAGUAUUGGGGUAAGUUUGAGAAGAUGAAUAUGUUGUUGCUUGUUGCUGUUGUGUUAGAUCCCAGAUAUAAGAUGAAGUAUGUGAACUUCACUCUUACCAAAGCAUAUGGUACUUUGUUGGGAAGAUUAAAGUCGGCGGAUGUGGCAAGUGUUUUAACUCGUUUGUAUAAUUCCUACAAUAAUUCUGUCUUUGAGGCUUCUUCUGAUGACCAUAAUGGAGGUGACACUAGCAUGAUGAGUGAAGCCGGUGAUUUGUUGCAAUCUGAGUGGGAGAAACAUUUGGAAGACGAGGGAAAUAUUGCAAAAAACCUGAUCUUGAGAUAUACUUGAUGGAUGAUGUGGUGAAGGAUAAAGAUUUUGAUAUCUUGGCUUGGUGGAAAGUUUUGUCUAGUAAAUAUCCAGUUGUUUCAAAAAUUGCUAGAGAAGUUCUUUCUAUUGAUAUUUUUACUGUUGCAUCUGAAUCGACAUUUAGUACAUAUGGUCGAAUUCUUAAUUCUUACCGGAGUUCUUUAUCGCCAAAAACAGUAGAAGCUCCUAUUUGUACUCUACGAUGGAUACGAUCACCUUCUAAAGAAUACAAGUUUCACGACAGUUUACAAGAAGUCUAGAAAAUUGAGCAAGUUGAAGAAGAGUACCUACGCUCGCCUUUGAGUAUUGAUUAGCCAGCUUUGUUCAUGAUGCACCAUCUACGUGAGAAUUGAUGAGGAAAUAGAACCAGAUGCAGAUUGUUUCCAACACUUCGUGGGUGUGUAGUUACAUUUGUCUUGUGUUUACUUGAGAGUUGAGACAACUUCAGUUGUAAUAGUCUAGAUGAUUUAGAGUAUACUCAAACUCUAAGGUGGAUUUUUGUUUUUGCGACAUUCUAUUUUGUGUAAAACUGUAGUUGUUUUAAUUUUGUGGAAGAAACUAUAUUAGUUUGCUUUCCCAGGCAAGCAGUUCUACA